UUACUGGGCGUAAAGCGUACGUAGGCUGUUACUUAAGCUAGAUGUGAAAGCCCCGGGGCUCAACCUGGGAACUGCAUUUAGAACUGAGUAGCUAGAAUGUGUGAGAGGUAAGUGGAAUUUCCAGUGUAGCGGUGAAAUGCGUAGAGAUUGGAAAGAACACCAGUGGCGAAGGCGACUUACUGGCAUAACAUUGACGCUGAGGUACGAAAGCGUGGGUAGCAAACAGGAUUAGAUACCCUGGUAG
RNAcentral lists this ribosomal RNA (244 nucleotides) under uncultured bacterium. Its description in RNAcentral is "partial 16S ribosomal RNA". It matches the Rfam family "Bacterial small subunit ribosomal RNA", at positions 551 to 793 of the family's 1533-position model. The record is from RNAcentral.